RNAcentral lists this ribosomal RNA (253 nucleotides) under uncultured bacterium. Its description in RNAcentral is "partial 16S ribosomal RNA". It matches the Rfam family "Bacterial small subunit ribosomal RNA", at positions 524 to 776 of the family's 1533-position model. The record is from RNAcentral.
UACAGAGGGGGCAAGCGUUAUUCGGAAUUAUUGGGCGUAAAGGGCGCGUAGGCGGCUUUUUAAGUCAGAUGUGUAAUCCCCGAGCUCAACUUGGGAACUGCAUCUGAGGCUGGGAGGCUAGAGUGCUGGAGAGGGUGGUGGAAUUCCUCGUGUAGCGGUGAAAUGCGUAGAGAUGAGGAGGAACACCAGUGGCGAAGGCGGCCACCUGGACAGUAACUGACGCUGAGGCGCGAAAGUGUGGGUAGCAAACAGG